UUGCGAUGGUCACACACCUGGAGAGAUGCAUUCUGAUGUACGAGCUGGCGGUCCUUGUUUCCCAAUCACCAUGCCAGUAAAUGAAGGACAUUUCCAAAAGAACUGCAUGGAGUUCAAAAGAUCAGCCCCAGCACCUGGAAGGAAUACUCGAGAACAGUUGAACCUACUGACGUCCUUUGUGGACGCCUCUAACGUGUACGGACUCAGUCAGGAUCAGAUCAAUCACCUCAGGAAUGGAC
Molecule: long non-coding RNA, 239 nt
Organism: Haliotis rufescens (red abalone)
Lineage: Eukaryota; Metazoa; Mollusca; Gastropoda; Lepetellida; Haliotidae
Exons: 3
Source: RefSeq, a predicted model, not a curated record